AAGGGGUGAGCAUUAGGGAGUUUUGUGCAAUUAGCUUGAAACUAAGAGGAGGGGGUUCGAGUCCCCCACCCUUUG
This 75-nucleotide transfer RNA is filed under the name Lepidodactylus lugubris. RNAcentral describes it as "tRNA-Ser". It matches the Rfam family "tRNA". Rfam says of the family: Transfer RNA (tRNA) molecules are approximately 80 nucleotides in length. Their secondary structure includes four short double-helical elements and three loops (D, anti-codon, and T loops). Lineage: Eukaryota; Metazoa; Chordata; Lepidosauria; Squamata; Gekkonidae. The record is from RNAcentral.